Molecule: ribosomal RNA, 1392 nt
Filed under: uncultured marine bacterium
Lineage: Bacteria
Description: 16S ribosomal RNA
Rfam family: Bacterial small subunit ribosomal RNA
Source: RNAcentral
ACGCUGGCGGCACGCCUAACACAUGCAAGUCGAACGAAGUAGCAAUACUUAGUGGCAGACGGGUGAGUAACAUGUAGGUAUCUGCCCUUUGGCCUGGAAUAACACGAGGAAACUUGUGCUAAUACCGGAUAAGUCUUUACGGAGAAAGCUUUAUGCACCAUUGGAUGAGCCUGCACUUGAUUAGUUUGUUGGUGGGGUAAUGGCCUACCAAGACUGUGAUCAAUAGCUGAUUUGAGAGGAUGAUCAGCCACAUUGGGACUGAGACACGGCCCAAACUCCUACGGGAGGCAGCAGUGGGGAAUCUUGCACAAUGGAGGAAACUCUGAUGCAGCGAUGCCGCGUGAGUGAAGAAGGCCCUUGGGUUGUAAAGCUCUUUCGUCGGGGAAGAAAAUGACUGUACCCGAAUAAGAAGGUCCGGCUAACUUCGUGCCAGCAGCCGCGGUAAUACGAAGGGACCUAGCGUAGUUCGGAAUUACUGGGCUUAAAGAGUUCGUAGGUGGUUAAAAAAGUUGGUGGUGAAAUCCCAGAGCUUAACUCCGGAACUGCCAUCAAAACUUUUUAGCUAGAGUAUGAUAGAGGAAAGCAGAAUUUCUAGUGUAGAGGUGAAAUUCGUAGAUAUUAGAAAGAAUACCAAUUGCGAAGGCAGCUUUCUGGAUCAUUACUGACACUGAGGAACGAAAGCAUGGGUAGCGAAGAGGAUUAGAUACCCUCGUAGUCCAUGCCGUAAACGAUGUGUGUUAGACGUUGGAAAUUUAUUUUCAGUGUCGCAGCGAAAGCGAUAAACACACCGCCUGGGGAGUACGACCGCAAGGUUAAAACUCAAAUGAAUUGACGGGGACCCGCACAAGUAGUGGAGCAUGUGGUUUAAUUCGAAGAUACGCGCAGAACCUUACCAACACUUGACAUGUUCGUCGCGACUUUAAGAGAUUAAAGUUUUCGGUUCGGCCGGACGAAACACAGGUGCUGCAUGGCUGUCGUCAGCUCGUGUCGUGAGAUGUUGGGUUAAGUCCCGCAACGAGCGCAACCCUCACUUUUAGUUGCCAUCAUUUAGUUGGGCACUCUGAAAGAACUGCCAGUGAUAAGCUGGAGGAAGGUGGGGAUGACGUCAAGCCCUCAUGGCCCUUACGUGUUGGGCUACACACGUGCUACAAUGGUAUCUACAACAGGAAGCAAGACUGCGAAGUUAAGCAAAUCCUUAAAAGAUACCUCAGUUCGGAUUGCACUCUGCAACUCGAGUGCAUGAAGCUGGAAUUACUAGUAAUCGUGGAUCAGCGUGCCACGGUGAAUGCGUUCCCGGGUCUUGUACACACCGCCCGUCACACCAUGGGAGUUGGUUCUACCUUAAGGCAAGGUUUCAAACCCUUGACCACGGUAUAGUCAGCGACUGGGGUG